GCAAGUAACGCUCCCAACACCGGAGGCUUGAAAUCCCAGAGCAGGGAAGCCUUUGAUACGCCCAGAGCCCGAGGUCGGCCCCACGCCCUGUUGUGACACAAGCAGGAGCACUGCGCCUGCAACACGCUCCUGCUCAGGCGUGCUGCACCCAGAGGGAACCAAGUCAGGCACCCAGGACGCAGGACCCAGGACGGAGAGCGUAUUCCUGUCUUGAUCGGCUGCACGCUUCUUGUUUGUGUAGAGGAGGUGAGGCAGGGAUGACCACUGAGCAGCGAAACGCUUACCUUCCUGCAGUUGUAGAAAUCCCGGUGGGGGUUGUUCUUCAGCUCCUUUAACUCAUCCAUCUCGUUGAGCAUCUCAUGGACCUGGAACUUGGAGGAGAGGAACUUCAGGCGCCGACAUAGAGCCAAGAGGAAGGCAGCAGAAUGAUCUCUCUCCCGUGAAGCUGGUGUGUGUGUGUUGGGUGAGUGCUAUGAAGAGGAGGUUCCAGCAAAGCGUAGGUAGCAAAUAAUGAAAAUGGCAACCAGCUAUUUGGAGCGACAGUAGAAGACGAACAUUCUUCACACGAUGACAAAGCAAAGUGCAUGCAAAGAGGAAGAUCCCCCACUCCUGCCCCAUCAGCGUCUCUACAGGUCUCCAAAAUGCCCCAUUUCAAUUCUAUCUUAA
This is a long non-coding RNA of Myotis daubentonii (Daubenton's bat), 666 nucleotides long. RefSeq lists it as uncharacterized. Lineage: Eukaryota; Metazoa; Chordata; Mammalia; Chiroptera; Vespertilionidae. The record is from RefSeq and is a predicted model, not a curated record.